Molecule: unclassified non-coding RNA, 256 nt
Filed under: uncultured Parcubacteria group bacterium
Lineage: Bacteria
Description: contains 16S-23S intergenic spacer region
Rfam family: Bacterial small subunit ribosomal RNA
Source: RNAcentral
UACGAAGGGGGCUAGCGUUAUCCGGAAUCACUGGGCGUAAAGCGUACCGAUCGGCGGUUUGGUAAGUCUUUGGUGAAAGCCCCAAGCUUAACUUGGGAAUCGCCAAGGAAACUAUCAGACUAGAGGGGCAAAGAGGGAGACGGAACUUUGGGUGUAGCGGUGAAAUGCGUUGAUAUCCAAAGGAACACUCAUAGCGAAGGCAGUCUCCUGGGUGCCACCUGACGCUGCUAGGACGAAAGCGUGGGGAGCGAAUGGG